GUCAUAUGCUUGUCUCAAAGAUUAAGCCAUGCAUGUCUCAGUACAAGCCGAAUUAAGGUGAAACCGCGAAAGGCUCAUUAAAUCAGUUAUGGUUCCUUAGAUCGUACCCACAUUUACUUGGAUAACUGUGGUAAUUCUAGAGCUAAUACAUGCAAACAGAGCUCCGACCGGCAACGGGAGGAGCGCUUUUAUUAGAUCAAAACCAAUCGGUGGCGGGUCUCCCGUCACCGUACACCUUGGUGACACUGAAUAACUUUGCUGAUCGCACGGUCUCGAACCGGCGACGCAUCUUUCAAAUGUCUGCCUUAUCAACUGUCGAUGGUAGGUUCUGCGCCUACCAUGGUUGUAACGGGUAACGGGGAAUCAGGGUUCGAUUCCGGAGAGGGAGCCUGAGAAACGGCUACCACAUCCAAGGAAGGCAGCAGGCGCGCAAAUUACCCACUCCCGGCACGGGGAGGUAGUGACGAAAAAUAACGAUACGGGACUCAUCCGAGGCCCCGUAAUCGGAAUGAGUACACUCUAAACCCUUUAACGAGGAUCAAUUGGAGGGCAAGUCUGGUGCCAGCAGCCGCGGUAAUUCCAGCUCCAAUAGCGUAUAUUAAAGUUGUUGCGGUUAAAAAGCUCGUAGUCGAAUUUGUGUCCCGCGCCGCCGGUUCAUCGCUCGCGGUGUCAACUGGCGUGUCCGCGGGACGUCCUGCCGGUGGGCUUAGCCUUUCGGCGAGGCCCAAUCUCAAUCCCACCGCGGUGCUCUUCACUGAGUGUCGAGGUGGGCCGGCACGUUUACUUUGAACAAAUUAGAGGUGCUUAAAGCAGGCUAAAAUAUCGCCUGAAUACUGGUGCAUGGAAUAAUGGAAUAGGACCUCGGUUCUAUUUUGUUGGUUUUCGGAACCCCGAGGUAAUGAUUAAUAGGAACGGAUGGGGGCAUUCGUAUUGCGACGUUAGAGGUGAAAUUCUUGGAUCGUCGCAAGACGGACAGAAGCGAAAGCAUUUGCCAAAAACGCUUUCAUUGAUCAAGAACGAAAGUUAGAGGUUCGAAGGCGAUCAGAUACCGCCCUAGUUCUAACCAUAAACGAUGCCAGCUAGCGAUCCGCCGACGUUCCUCCGAUGACUCGGCGGGCAGCUUCCGGGAAACCAAAGCUUUUGGGUUCCGGGGGAAGUAUGGUUGCAAAGCUGAAACUUAAAGGAAUUGACGGAAGGGCACCACCAGGAGUGGAGCCUGCGGCUUAAUUUGACUCAACACGGGAAACCUCACCAGGCCCGGACACCGGAAGGAUUGACAGAUUGAGAGCUCUUUCUUGAUUCGGUGGGUGGUGGUGCAUGGCCGUUCUUAGUUGGUGGAGCGAUUUGUCUGGUUAAUUCCGAUAAC
RNAcentral lists this ribosomal RNA (1366 nucleotides) under Allogymnopleurus thalassinus. RNAcentral's name for it is "SSU rRNA". It matches the Rfam family "Eukaryotic small subunit ribosomal RNA", at positions 23 to 1332 of the family's 1831-position model. The record is from RNAcentral. Lineage: Eukaryota; Metazoa; Arthropoda; Insecta; Coleoptera; Scarabaeidae.